RNAcentral lists this long non-coding RNA (473 nucleotides) under Equus caballus (horse). Its description in RNAcentral is "lncRNA (ENSECAG00000059978.1)". Lineage: Eukaryota; Metazoa; Chordata; Mammalia; Perissodactyla; Equidae. The record is from RNAcentral.
CUCAGAGUCACAGAGGAUUGUCACUGGGGCCUCGGCAUCUGCAUUUCUAAGAAUCACUAUGUGACUUCUUGAACCAUAUAUUAAUUCCUAGUGGAUGAUUUAACAUUAUUAAUUCAUAUAAUUAAUCAUGAUUCUACAAGAUUUAUUGAAUCUCUUCAAGCAAGGUGAACUUUCAAGCAAGAAACACGGCUGGAAGCUUCUUGUCCCUGUUACCACUCUGGAUUUGACAGGUUUGAAGCAGUGAUUUCAGCUCUCUAGGUGAUCUUGACGUGGACGAUCUGCAGAAUGCUCUUUGAGAAACAUGAAAUCUAUUUUUAUGGACAAUCCUUGAGCCCUCUGAACUUUUAUUGGGGGAGAAUCUAGUAUUUAAAACAUGAAAAUAGGCUCUAAAUCUUAGCAGAAAUAUCUCCUUCAUGCCCAUCACCACCUACAACCCUGAAGGAGGUUUUUAGUUUAAAAAAAAAUUAAAAAAU